AACUUUUAGUCAGCUCCAUGAAACACAGAAUUCUGUUCAACUAGAAGAAAAAAAAACCGACACUGAAUUGUGGAUGGAGGCGGCUGGAUCGAGCACUAGCGGGCGGGUGUUUGGAAUCGGAUAUAUGGGUCGAAAACAAGUGUAUCAAGAUAAUUGUUCCAGCACCAAGCUAAGUUUGGAGGUGAACACUCUGAAGGAAACAGUGACUGAAUUGAAGUUGGAGAAUUCAGAAAAACAGAAAGAAGUUGAGAAUUGUAAGUUGGAAAUCAAUACACUCAAAGACCAAUUCGCCGAGAUGAUUCAAUUAAUGAAGAAAAAUGGACAACCUACUCCCCUAACAAAUACAACUCUGGAAGGCGGAGACGUAUGAAAAGGUAUGGCUGAAAUGUGGAUCUUCCAUGACAUUGAUGAUCUUUUUGGACUAUAUCAAUGGAUAAUUUCAUUAUUUUAUGGACAAGGUUUGAGAAAUUAUAUUUUGGAAAGUUUGAAUUGAAUUGAAUCUGAUAUGUAUGCUGUUUGACUUGGUUAUGUUUGAGGUUAAUUAUGAUGUUUGAAUUAGUUAUGUUUAAGGUUUGAGAAAUUAUUUUUUGGAAAGUUUGAAUUGAAUUGAAAUUGUGGUUAAUUAUGAUGUUUGAAUUGGUUAUGAUUUCUUUUGCCUAUUA
This is a long non-coding RNA of Impatiens glandulifera, 662 nucleotides long. RefSeq lists it as uncharacterized. The record is from RefSeq and is a predicted model, not a curated record. Lineage: Eukaryota; Viridiplantae; Streptophyta; Magnoliopsida; Ericales; Balsaminaceae. The transcript is spliced from 2 exons.